This 495-nucleotide ribosomal RNA is filed under the name uncultured bacterium. Its description in RNAcentral is "partial 16S ribosomal RNA". It matches the Rfam family "Bacterial small subunit ribosomal RNA", at positions 28 to 507 of the family's 1533-position model. The record is from RNAcentral.
GAUGAACGCUGGCGGCGUGCCUAAUACAUGCAAGUAGAGCGCUGAAGGAGGAGCUUGCUCUUCUGGAUGAGUUGCGAACGGGUGAGUAACGCGUAGGUAACCUGCCUGGUAGCGGGGGAUAACUAUUGGAAACGAUAGCUAAUACCGCAUGACAACAGUUAUUGCAUGAUAACUGUUUAAAAGGGGCAACUGCUCCACUACCAGAUGGACCUGCGUUGUAUUAGCUAGUUGGUGAGGUAACGGCUCACCAAGGCGACGAUACAUAGCCGACCUGAGAGGGUGAUCGGCCACACUGGGACUGAGACACGGCCCAGACUCCUACGGGAGGCAGCAGUAGGGAAUCUUCGGCAAUGGACGGAAGUCUGACCGAGCAACGCCGCGUGAGUGAAGAAGGUUUUCGGAUCGUAAAGCUCUGUUGUAAGAGAAGAACGAGUGUGAGAGUGGAAAGUUCACACUGUGACGGUAUCUUACCAGAAAGGGACGGCUAACUACGUG